CAGUAGCCGCGGGAAUACGUAGGGUGCGAGCGUUAAUCGGAAUUACUGGGCGUAAAGCGUGCGCAGGCGGUUCGUUAAGACAGAUGUGAAAUCCCCGGGCUUAACCUGGGAACUGCAUUUGUGACUGGCGAGCUAGAGUAUGGCAGAGGGGGGUAGAAUUCCACGUGUAGCAGUGAAAUGCGUAGAGAUGUGGAGGAAUACCGAUGGCGAAGGCAGCCCCCUGGGCCAAUACUGACGCUCAUGCACGAAAGCGUGGGGAGCAAACAGGAUUAGAUACCCCAGUAGUCCCUGUCUCUUAUAC
Molecule: ribosomal RNA, 301 nt
Filed under: uncultured bacterium
Lineage: Bacteria
Description: partial 16S ribosomal RNA
Rfam family: Bacterial small subunit ribosomal RNA
Source: RNAcentral